GACGAACGCUGGCGGCGUGCUUAACACAUGCAAGUCGAACGGAAAGGCCCUGCUUUUGUGGGGUGCUCGAGUGGCGAAAGGGUGAGUAACACGUGAGUAACCUGCCCUUGACUUUGGGAUAACUUCAGGAAACUGGGGCUAAUACCGGAUAGGAGCUCCUGCUGCAUGGUGGGGGUUGGAAAGUUUCGGCGGUUGGGGAUGGACUCGCGGCUUAUCAGCUUGUUGGUGGGGUAGUGGCUUACCAAGGCUUUGACGGGUAGCCGGCCUGAGAGGGUGACCGGCCACAUUGGGACUGAGAUACGGCCCAGACUCCUACGGGAGGCAGCAGUGGGGAAUAUUGCACAAUGGGCGGAAGCCUGAUGCAGCAACGCCGCGUGCGGGAUGACGGCCUUCGGGUUGUAAACCGCUUUCGCCUGUGACGAAGCGUGAGUGACGGUAAUGGGUAAAGAAGCACCGGCUAACUACGG
This 467-nucleotide ribosomal RNA is filed under the name uncultured bacterium. RNAcentral's name for it is "partial 16S ribosomal RNA". It matches the Rfam family "Bacterial small subunit ribosomal RNA", at positions 28 to 506 of the family's 1533-position model. The record is from RNAcentral.